GUUUGAGAGACAACAUUUAUAUAAAAACACACACACCCUUAAACAGAGUCUGAAAGUGCAGUUAUAUUCUAAGAUUGUGUUGUCUUCCACUACAGGUAAACAAUCCCAGUGACAUGAUUCAUGUAUGCAGCAUCUCCUGGCCAGCAAUACGGUUAUCUGAGUGCUCAUCUCAGCCUUGUGUCCACUGUUCACAAUAGAAUACCUCAAGACCUAAAAAAGAGUCCCUCAUCCUUUUUGGGCCAGGAUAAGGAUCUUAGACCUUGUCCUUGGUGUGGUUUUGGACCAACUCUGUUUCUGUAAAGAAGACACCUUGUCUGCAUCAUCACAUGGCCACCAGAAAGCCAACUGACUGCCUCUGGCCUCCAUGCCUGUGUUUCUGUCCGCUUAGAGGACUGACUGACUGUUCUGAGACCUGUUGUCCCACAUUCCACUGAUUCAUUCCACAGCAGAACCAAGACGGAUUAGGAUGUUACAGGACAAAGAGAGACUGAUCUGUGAGUAGAGACUACAGCACCCACAAAGUAGAGACUACAGCACCCACAAAGCAUUGCGGCUUCCCUUACUGAGACUUGUAGGCCUACUUGCACUGCCUGCUUUUACUACUGUCUCAAGGUAAUUUUUUUCUGUGAGUUAAUGUUCUGUAAAUAC
Molecule: long non-coding RNA, 648 nt
Filed under: Salmo salar (Atlantic salmon)
Lineage: Eukaryota; Metazoa; Chordata; Actinopteri; Salmoniformes; Salmonidae
Description: lncRNA (ENSSSAG00000084690.1)
Source: RNAcentral